RNAcentral lists this long non-coding RNA (219 nucleotides) under Spirodela polyrhiza (greater duckweed). RNAcentral describes it as "long non-coding RNA (SPOL_LNC000622)". The record is from RNAcentral. Lineage: Eukaryota; Viridiplantae; Streptophyta; Magnoliopsida; Alismatales; Araceae.
GUGCACUUGUCCUCCCCACAAAUGGGGGGCGUCUCGUAUUCUAUCCACGUCAGGGUUUGGAGAGCCAUUAAGAAGAGCCCCUUCGUCUUCACUAUAUACGGCAAAAGACCCUGUGAACGACUAAGGGUGAGCGCGGAUUUGGAAAUCUCCGUUUCUCUUCACCGAGAGGGACUUCACGGAGAGGAGAGAGAGGGUCUUCCCCGGGUGGUUGCUCUCUCC